UACCCUUGACAUGGCAGGAAUCCCGCAGAGAUGUGGGAGUGCUCGAAAGAGAACCUGCACACAGGCGCUGCAUGGCCGUCGUCAGCUCGUGUCGUGAGAUGUUGGGUUGAGUCCCGCAACGAGCGCAACCCUUGCCAUUAGUUGCUACGAAAGGGCACUCUAAUGGGACUGCCGGUGACAAGCCGGAGGAAGGUGGGGAUGACGUCAAGUCCUCAUGGCCCUUAUAGGUGGGGCUACACACGUCAUACAAUGGCCGGUACAAAGGGCAACCAACCCGCGAGGGGGAGCCAAUCCCAUAAAGCCGGUCGUAGUCCGGAUCGCAGUCUGCAACUCGACUGCGUGGAGUCGGAAUCGCUAGUAAUCGUGGAUCAGCAUGUCACGGUGAAUACGUUCCCGGGUCUUGUACACACCGCCCGUCACACCAUGGGAGCGGGUCUCGCCAGAAGUAGGUAGCCUAACCGCAAGGGGGGCGCUUACCACGGCGGGGUUCGUGACUGGGGUGAAGUCGUAACAAGGUAGCCGUAUCGGAAGGUGCGGCUGGAUCACCUCCUU
This 552-nucleotide ribosomal RNA is filed under the name uncultured bacterium. Its description in RNAcentral is "bacterial SSU rRNA". It matches the Rfam family "Bacterial small subunit ribosomal RNA", at positions 976 to 1532 of the family's 1533-position model. The record is from RNAcentral.